This is a non-coding RNA of Nothobranchius furzeri (turquoise killifish), 5763 nucleotides long. NCBI's taxonomy places the organism in Eukaryota, Metazoa, Chordata, Actinopteri, Cyprinodontiformes, Nothobranchiidae. The record is from RefSeq and is a predicted model, not a curated record.
UUGGCGCAUCUGCCUUUAAAAUAAAAUAAAGGAAGUAUUCUCUUAAACCUCUCCUGCCUUGAGUCGUUCUGGGGAUUCUGCAUCUUGGGUCCUAAACUCCUGCUCUCACCGUGACACCUCUUUCCUAUUCUCUCUCUCUCUCUUUCUUUACAUUUUUAAUCACAAUUGUCAAUUUUUUUGCUCAUUUAAAAUAUAUUUUUAAUCAUUUUUUUAAUUAUUUUUUAUAUUUUUACUUUUUUUGUUUUUGUAAAGUGCCUCGUGAUUUUAUCUUGAGAGGCGCUAUAGAAAUGAUACUUUUUUCUUCUUUUUUGCAGGAUUGUUUCAAUUCAACCACAUAGAAGGGUUAUCAUGUAUGAGUCACCUGUUUGAAAGGAUAGGCAGUUUUGGCUUGCUUUUAGCACCCCCUAGUGUCCGUUGUUGCAACCAAAUGAGAAACUUAUCUUCUCACUUUGUCUAUUUAACAACUGCUAAACUAUCUUCUCAGUCUUCAUUAGUUUUUACAGGAGCGAUUUAUCACUAAAUCAUCAAAUCCGCUGUGUUCCUUAUCUAAAACAUGCUGGAAAUGUGCUGGAAGCAGACUCCAGUGCCAGGAAAGUCAGCUACACUUUACUGGGUCCAACAGGCACCGGACCGGAAACUCUGAAGUUGCAAGUGUGGUAUUCUGCCACAGAGAGCAGUUGGGUCUGGGUGACAGUUCAUUAACCUGUAAAAGGGUAUUUUAACACAUACUGGCUCAAGAAUUUUUUUAAGUUGCAUAGUAUGCCUUUAAAGGGACUUUACGGAGUUUAGAAUUUUUUAUGCUCGCGAUUGCCCCCUCAGGUCAAAAGCGUAAUGGCAGCUUCAAUAGUAGGCUCGUGCACGAGGCGCGCAUGCUGUAUGUGCACACUCCUUAAUGAAAAUAACAGCUGAGACAGUCCCGUGUGUGUGUGUGUGGCCCGGAGGACAGAGGACAGGAGAACACGCAGCUAAUUAAUUAAAUAAUGUGGUUCUGUACCUUUCUCUUCAGCACAGCUGACAAAUGUUUAAGACGGGUCAGUCCUCCUGCAUGCUCUUGAAAAAUUGUUCCAAAAUGACAGUUGAACCCACGUCUUUUUUUAUCUGUGAAUGAAAUGCCGUUCAGCGAGUCUCAAAUAAAAAUGUGGGCAUCUUACUGUAAAAAAAUAUACCAUUAAUGUAAAAAAGAAACUCUAAAUAAACUAUGUUCACAUCCAGAAUCGAACCCCGGGUCUCCUGCAUGAGAGUCAGAUGUCUAAAUAAGUGAGCUAAAGUGCAAUUGAUGUCUUUUGCAUCCAUAACAUUUAUAGCCUUGCUAAUAGCUGAAACAACGUUCAAAGAACGGUUUGGAGCAAAAAUGGCUAUUUUGUUGCUAAUUUGCAGGAAAUAUCUCGAAGAAAGUUAUACAGAAAGUAGCUAAGAGUCCUCAGAAAUGUAGCUAGCUUUGUUACUAGAAGUUAGGAACAGCGACAAAGUGGAACUGCCUCUCUCUCUGCUGCUAAAGCUACGGAUAGAUACGGGCUAUAUGCCUGAGCGUGAACGCGCAUGAAGCAGCCUGCUCGACCCGAGCAGCUCUCUUUUUCUGUGAUUUUACAGAAAAACAGGCAAUCACAGUAAAAAUGCCAGGGCUCAUUCUACAGGACCAGGGCAUUGCAGGAGAAUGUAUGAAGAAGAAAUUUAUUAUUUCUAUACAUGUUUUGGCUGUCAAACUUCCAUAAUGCCCCUUUAAGGUCAAUGGUUGGAAUUCUCUAGGAAAUUCUGCAAGAAAGUAGAAUUUAUGGUUCCAUCAAUUAGAGCAAGUGGUCCAACUCCUGAAGUUGCAAAUCACCCUCAGGCUAUCACACUCCCACUGCCAUGUUUGACUGCUGGUCUUAGUUUUACACCAGAUGUUAACUCAUUUACUGCAGUUGAUGACAAAAGUCUUCAUUUUAAAUUCAACCACUCGCUGCCAUAAAGUCAUCAAUGGGCGUGCGUUGUCACGAGCCCCCGUACCGGGCGAAUAAACAAUACGUCUGUAAAGCUCAUCUUCAUCCAAGUAGAUCGCACGUCAUGUGAUCAGGAGGCAGAACAUCCAUGAAUUAGGAGAUCAUUUUGGGACGCUUCUGUGAAAAAAGUCAGUCCCACAUCCAGGGCCGUAUCAAGGCAUUUGGGGACCAAGGCAAAUAUGGACUUGGAGCUCCCACCACCUCACUCCCUGCUCAGUUAAUAUAAGAUGGCAGCGUGCUGAGAGUACAGAUUGUUGUUGCUUUUAUUUAAUAAACAGUCAUUUUAAAGCACUGUUAUUAUAUCUGACUGUUUUUAACAGCAACCCUAGCUCAGAUACCACAUCACUUUCCACAUAUAUGUCAUGAGCUCACUGAGGGUCAGAUUACCAGAUUCAUAUUGAAGUUGUUUUGGUGAAAGUAACUUAGAGUAAUGCAAAAGUAGUGUAAUGCCUUACAAUUUAAAAUCAGUAAUAUUAUAAUGUAAUGAAUUACUUUAAAAUGAGGGUAACAAGUAAUAAAUAAUGCAUUACACUUUUGAAGUAACUUGCCCAACACUGGAAACUGUCAAGAAUUAAACUGCUGAAAUCGCUCUAUGUGAGACAGAUUUUGUCCAAAAAACUUCACACAAACAUGUUUUGUAUCACAAUAAAACUAUUAUAACUAUAAAAAAGUCAUAAUAUAACUCAUUUAAAUCUUCAGGGCUCUAAUUUCCCUCUGGGAUUAAUAAAUUAUCUUUGAAUUAGAAUUUGAAUUGAACUACAUUUUAAUAAUACUGUACAUGUGAAUUAGCAUAUGAAAUAAUGUAAUAAUGUGAAAUCUAAUUUUUAUGAUAAUAAAACUGCUAAUGCAAAGAAAAUGAUUGACUGUUUUAAAUAACUUUCUUUUCUUUAGCAUAACUGGCAUAAGCAUGACAUUUUUAACUCCGGUCAGUCAGAUGAUCAUGAUCAUGGAAAUAGAUGUUCUUAACUUUGCUAUCCCCAUCCAUAUGUCAGUGACAAACACAUGCCCAGAAAAUGCCUUUGAAACAGGCUCUAAGAGCUGGCACGCUCUCGUGGAGAACAGGAUGUAUGAGCACAAAACAACCAGAUGAUGACACCGUGGGAGAUGGGAAAGAAGCGAGAGUUGGUCAGUCUACCAUCAUUUAUUCAUCAAUGAUUAUUUAAAAGAGCUGUUGCAAUCACAAGGAGAAUUUUAAAUUUCAUUAAACGACUGAUUUAUGACAUUCAAGCUGAUGAAUUCACAAGCUCGUCUCAAAAUAGGAAAACAUGCAUAUUCCCCAAAACAAGCAGCUUCAUCUUUAACCGAAACACGGGCGCCCAGCGAAAAAUGCUUUAAAAAAAUCAUCGACCUGUGAGAAAAAGGUGACCGCUAAUCUAUUGUUAAACGCUUUUGUGGAAAAAGUUGAAGAACAUUAAAAGAAAAAAACAAAGAAGGUACUGAACCUGGUAUCUGCCAAUAAUAGAUGACCACCUCUCAGAUGGAAGGAACAGACUUGGCCAAAAUCUAAUCUGCAUUGUGAGAGAUUUGAUUUUAUGUCCAAAGGGGUCUAUUUUCACCUACAUACUGACCACCAUAUAACCUUUCUUCUACAGAAAUAAAUCAACUUUCUAUUUGGCCUUCUAAACCCAGAAGGUUCUGCUCAGCACUUGUUUACAUUCCACUGUAGCUUCCAUCAAUGGCCAGUUUAGGCACUGUUUGACCUUUCAGCAUCUAUUCAACAUCUGGUCAGAAAGGAGACACAGCAUUGCAUACAUAGGCGUCAUUUUAACCGGGGACGCCGGGGACAUGUCCCCGGCAAAAUUUGUGAUUGGCAGCUGUGUCCCCCCCCACUUUCAAAAAAGCCUGCUGAUGAGGAUUUUUGUUUUACCAGCUCAGAUCUUAUACCAGGGGUCGGCAACCUGUUCCCAUCAAAGAGCCAUUAUUACCCGUUUCCCACAGUAAAGAAAACACCGCAGCAGCCGCGGCGUUGUGGGCGAGGCCUACCCUCAGACAGCAGAGGGCUGCUCACAACCAGGUGACAGCAGCAGGUACCGGUCGCUCGCAUGGGCAUCGCACCCGUGGGGGAUUCAACACCCACACUUUUCCAGCUGUUUUGCUCACCUCCACACCAGUCUGGUUUCUAUAGGUCGCACUCACUCCGUUUGCCUCAUCUCCUUCUUCACCUCCCGCUUCUGACAGCCGAUGUCGGGUUUCCAGGAGAGCAGGAGAGGAAGGGACGGAAGAGCUCGACUGAAUUCAUAAUUUUACAUCUUGACAUUAGCUGUACAAAGUCUGAGUUUGAUAAAGUGAAGAACAACAAUUUGCAGAGGUUUAUAAUAGGCGCGGCGCCAGGUUUCCAUUUUUGGGUGGGCCACGGUAAUUUUGGACGGACCUUAAUAAGCAGUGACUUAGUGAAGCAGGCAGGUCGCGCUAGAAAAUUUCGUUUAAAAAUACGUCAUGAAUGUUUUACCCUGUCAUUUUUAUUUCUAAAAUAUGAAGUAAAAACUCCCAAUUUAAUUUUCAUUCAUUUGUCAUUAAUAUGUAGUCUACACCCGUGCGUUAAGUGGACCAUCUUCCAGUAAAAGCAAAGCAUCCAGUCCACCUCUCCAAAUGCGUAAAAUGUGCACCACAGCCGUUAGGCGCGCCACAUGCACCGUCAGCUACAUCAGCCCAGAGAAGAGCAGAGCAAAUAGAAUAGAGGAUAAUUCUGUCUGGAUGUGGAUGGAGAUUACAUUUUACAGCAGCCUGAUCAUCAUUUAAAUAAAACCAUCACCUGUCUUCUAGUCCAUGCUAUCAGCAUUAUUUUAAUUGGUGUGUGUGUGUGUGUGUGUGUGUGUGUGUGUGUGUGUGUGUGUGUGUGUGUGUGUGUGUGUGUGUGUGUGUGUGUGUGUGUGUGUGUGUGUGUGUGUGUGUGUUUUCCACUUCAAACACUGGUCUAACCAACCAGACCAGCGUGUCCAGUAACAUAUUAAUGUUACAAUUAAACAGUUUCACUUCAUGUAGGCUAGGAACGUUUCACCUGCCGUGGCCCGACCGCUUCUGCUCCACAUAAACUUUGUGCGUGAUCAAAUGUCUCUACAGGUGCUUUCUGAGCUGAAGAGGCUAUUCUGCCUCAGACUGGAUGCGUCAUGCGUCUCCAUAUUAGAGACGGGAAAAAGCGCUGUUCAGCCAAAGUUUCAUAAUUUCAUAAAAAGAACAUUUUUCCAAGCUCAUCCAUGCGCAUCAGUGUGCGUCGGGGUAAUUCUGUCAUGGUCUGUGCUGAGCUAACACCUGUUUGAGUUUCUCUGUGUGCAGGUGGGUGUGUCCGGAGAGCAGCUGUUGUUGAUCUCCUCAUCAGUGGUCAGGGAAUUUAAGGAGUGUUGGGACAACACAUCAGCGCUGGAUGAUUACUCAGUAUUGGGUAGUAUUCUCGCCAGAACCUUGCCUGUCUUGUAUUUCCUGUUUACCUCGCUUCGAUCAAGUUAAUCUGCCCUGUUACCUUUGACCUCCUCAGGUACCUUCCAUUCAUCUGCCAACUUCCACCACCAAGCAAGAAACUCACCGGAUCAUCCUGCUCACCAGCCCGUCACUCGCCCCUGACCGCCUGCUCUCCAACCCCCACCUGCCAUCAGUACAACCUGGACUCCGGUGCUCAGCUCCCAGCCAUUUCCUCUGCCUCUCGCCCGACCAACUCAGCCAGCCCUGACGUGCCCUCCUCUCAAAACUCUCUCUAACUAACUGGAAACCAACUUCAUCAGAACCUCCCGAAUCCCAUUCAACAUCUGCAUCACUCAUCCAACUUUAAUAAAUAAUUUUACUCACCUUC